This 1126-nucleotide ribosomal RNA is filed under the name Cellulomonas denverensis. RNAcentral's name for it is "bacterial SSU rRNA". It matches the Rfam family "Bacterial small subunit ribosomal RNA", at positions 371 to 1507 of the family's 1533-position model. The record is from RNAcentral. Lineage: Bacteria; Bacillati; Actinomycetota; Actinomycetes; Micrococcales; Cellulomonadaceae.
UGUGGCGCAGGCCUGCAUGCAGCGACGCCGCGUGAGGGAUGAAGGCCUUCGGGUUGUAAACCUCUUUCCGCAGGGAAGAAGCGCAAGUGACGGUACCUGCAGAAGAAGCGCCGGCUAACUACGUGCCAGCAGCCGCGGUAAUACGUAGGGCGCAAGCGUUGUCCGGAAUUAUUGGGCGUAAAGAGCUCGUAGGCGGUUUGUCGCGUCUGCUGUGAAAACUCGAGGCUCAACCUCGGGCUUGCAGUGGGUACGGGCAGACUAGAGUGCGGUAGGGGAGACUGGAAUUCCUGGUGUAGCGGUGGAAUGCGCAGAUAUCAGGAGGAACACCGAUGGCGAAGGCAGGUCUCUGGGCCGCAACUGACGCUGAGGAGCGAAAGCAUGGGGAGCGAACAGGAUUAGAUACCCUGGUAGUCCAUGCCGUAAACGUUGGGCACUAGGUGUGGGGCUCAUUCCACGAGUUCCGUGCCGCAGCAAACGCAUUAAGUGCCCCGCCUGGGGAGUACGGCCGCAAGGCUAAAACUCAAAGAAAUUGACGGGGGCCCGCACAAGCGGCGGAGCAUGCGGAUUAAUUCGAUGCAACGCGAAGAACCUUACCAAGGCUUGACAUACACCGGAAACUUCCAGAGAUGGUUGCCCCGCAAGGUCGGUGUACAGGUGGUGCAUGGUUGUCGUCAGCUCGUGUCGUGAGAUGUUGGGUUAAGUCCCGCAACGAGCGCAACCCUCGUCCUAUGUUGCCAGCGGGUCAUGCCGGGGACUCAUAGGAGACUGCCGGGGGUCAACUCGGAGGAAGGUGGGGAUGACGUCAAAUCAUCAUGCCCCUUAUGUCUUGGGCUUCACGCAUGCUACAAUGGCCGGUACAAAGGGCUGCGAUACCGCGAGGUGGAGCGAAUCCAAAAAGCCGGUCUCAUUCGGAUUGGGGUCUGCACUCGACCCAUGAAGUCGGAGUCGCUUGUAAUCCCCAGAUCACCACGCUGUAGUGAAUACUUUCCUGGGCCUUGUUACCCACGUCCGUCAGCCACGAAGGUCGGUAAACUCCUGAAGCCCGGUGGUCCACUUCGUAAAAGGGGAAGCCGUCCAAAGGUGGACUGGGCGAUGGGAUUUAGUCCUAACAAAGGUAUACAUUCGU